This 292-nucleotide non-coding RNA is filed under the name Paenibacillus sp. RNAcentral's name for it is "T-box sequence". It matches the Rfam family "T-box leader". From Rfam's summary of the family: Uncharged tRNA acts as the effector for transcription antitermination of genes in the T-box leader family. The record is from RNAcentral. Lineage: Bacteria; Bacillati; Bacillota; Bacilli; Caryophanales; Paenibacillaceae.
UCACACGCAAUGAACGGGAGCAGUAGAUGAUGAAGGUGUGCAGAGAGCUGCGGGCUGGUGCAACGCAGUCACCUGAUAGGCAUUGAAUCUCGCCCGGGAGCGGAGCGGCGGAAACAGGAAGUACGCCGCAACGGAAGUCCCCGUUACCGGACAUCUGUAUUUGCCGGACUAUACCCGUAUGGGGAUGAGCCGGAUACGGGGUGAGCUGGGCGCAGCUUGCGGUUUAUCAGGAAGGUAAGCCGGAUGCGUCAACAAGAGUGGUACCGCGGUGGGGUGACCCGCCGUCUCUUAU